ACGAACGCUGGCGGCGUGCUUAACACAUGCAAGUCGAACGGAAAGGCCCUGCUUUUGUGGGGUGCUCGAGUGGCGAACGGGUGAGUAACACGUGAGUAACCUGCCCUUGACUUUGGGAUAACUUCAGGAAACUGGGGCUAAUACCGGAUAGGAGCUCCUGCUGCAUGGUGGGGGUUGGAAAGUUUCGGCGGGUGGGGAUGGACUCGCGGCUUAUCAGCUUGUUGGUGGGGUAGUGGCUUACCAAGGCUUUGACGGGUAGCCGGCCUGAGGGGGUGACCGGCCACAUUGGGACUGAGAUACGGCCCAGACUCCUACGGGAGGCAGCAGUGGGGAAUAUUGCACAAUGGGCGGAAGCCUGAUGCAGCAACGCCGCGUGCGGGAUGACGGCCUUCGGGUUGUAAACCGCUUUCGCCUGUGACGAAGCGUGAGUGACGGUAAUGGGUAAAGAAGCACCGGCUAACUACGUG
This 467-nucleotide ribosomal RNA is filed under the name uncultured bacterium. RNAcentral's name for it is "partial 16S ribosomal RNA". It matches the Rfam family "Bacterial small subunit ribosomal RNA", at positions 29 to 507 of the family's 1533-position model. The record is from RNAcentral.